UUUUCUAACUACUGCUCUUGCUUGUUUGUUUUUCUCUACCUACUGCUCUUACUUGGACUGUUUCGUCCAUGCUUGUAUUUGUUGCUGUCUUCUGACCCUUUUACUCACCAUGUGUUUGACAAAAUGUUCAAAUGAAACCAGACAAUGCUCAUGUGUUUGACAUCUGUUUAUGAGGUUUGGUAGUGCCCAGAUUGAAUUUAAUUGCUUUUUUCAAUUACCUGUUCAUGAGCUCUUAUUAGGUGCAAUUUUAGUUUGAGAUUGAAUUUCAUUUUUUUUGAAUGUUGGGCCUAAUUCAUUUUUUUCAUUUUCAUUUAUGAGCUCUGUACAUCCAAGCACUGCUUUGGGCCUAAUUCGAUUUUUCUCCACCAGUUGCUUUUCUUCUUUAAUCCACAACAUGUUGCUGAUUUCUCUGCUCUUGUAGAGACAUGCCGAUUACUUCAACAGUUUGUUCAAGAAAGUGGAGGGAGGUUGGUGUAUCAGAGCACCAAGAAGAGGGCCAGUGGACCCAAAUGUUCACUUUCCCAGAGCACCAAGAAUUAUAUAGGCCAUGGGUUGCAUGAGUUCUAAAAGGGUAAUCUAUGUGACCCCACGUCCAACUCAAAGCUAUGGUGGUCAACCUCUAGAGCCAGAAAGGAAGUUUGAGAACAUAGACGAGUUGGUGUCUUCAGAAAGAAAGGUACCAAACUAUAUGAAGCAAGCUUGAAGGAUGAGAAGCGUUUAGAUCAAUGGCUUCAUUGUUAAAUUAAGCAAGUGUUUUAGUAAAUAAAUUUAAUUUUCCCAUCAUGUUUACACCUUCAAAAUAUUCUGUAAAUGACAUUUGAUGUAGAAUUUUUUGUACAGAGGACAUCUUUUUUGUAUGAUUUUGUGUUUGUAUGGAAUUAUUAUUUUGGGUUGGAUUGUA
Non-coding RNA from Camellia sinensis, 901 nucleotides. The record is from RefSeq and is a predicted model, not a curated record. NCBI's taxonomy places the organism in Eukaryota, Viridiplantae, Streptophyta, Magnoliopsida, Ericales, Theaceae.